AAGACUUACAAGGCUGUCCCAAACCAGCACAACACAACAUAGGGUGUAAUACACAAUGGUCAUCAUCUUAUCAAUACAAAUAAGUUGAUUGCUUUGGAAAAAACGGAUAAGAGGUUGUAAAUGCUACGUUACGUACUAAAGCAAACAAUAAAUGAUGGAUGGAGAGUUCAUUUUAUUUAUUCAUUUAGCAACAAUUAAGAGUAAAAUUUAAAUUCCAAACAUAGAAGAUACAUAUCUCUGAGGAAAGCGUUAUAAAGCUUCACAAGUUAACAAUUUAUACUAUUAUCAAGUUGAUUUUUUAUUAUUA
Molecule: unclassified non-coding RNA, 307 nt
Filed under: Hevea brasiliensis (rubber tree)
Lineage: Eukaryota; Viridiplantae; Streptophyta; Magnoliopsida; Malpighiales; Euphorbiaceae
Source: RNAcentral